This is a long non-coding RNA of Neopsephotus bourkii (Bourke's parrot), 3555 nucleotides long. RefSeq lists it as uncharacterized. NCBI's taxonomy places the organism in Eukaryota, Metazoa, Chordata, Aves, Psittaciformes, Psittacidae. The transcript is spliced from 3 exons. The record is from RefSeq and is a predicted model, not a curated record.
CUCUGCCAGCCCAACUCAGUGGGAGGAAGCAGAGGCCAAAGUAACAGCUGAGUUUAAGUCACCUUAAAAUUCCUGUUCAUUCACAAUUGAUUCCAUGCUCCCAAACCCCUGAUCCCAACCUCCUCAAGCCCUGUGUUUCAACAGGAACACGAGUUUGUGUUUUUCCUUCAGUCAAUACAUUCCAGAUCUGUCAAGACACAGAAAACAACUUACUGAUACAAUCAUGAAGAGAGCAAACUCCAAAGGCAAAUGAAAAUGGCUGCGUUUAGACCUCAGUUGUCAAGGCUGCAUCUUGACUUUCAAGUACAUGAGAGUGGCACUGCUGAGUUUUGAGUGUCAUUAAAGUGUAAUGAGGUACCACUGCUAAUGACAAGGUUUAGUUUUAGAAAACCCUGAUAUCGAGCCUGUGUGCUUCCUAAAAUGGGGUUUUUCUCCUUUUCUUGCCUAACUGCUGGCCAGGAGAUCAAAUUCUAACAGGUACUUUAUAAACACACUGUCAAAGGAGGUUUUAACAACUACGACAUGAGCAUUCACAGAGAAGUUUCACAGCUUCUCAAAAGACAACCAGAGCUUGAACAUCACCAACCCUUAAGAGGCUUUUAACAUUUGGUUUACACCUUUUCAUACACUUUUAGUGACAUGGUUUUGUGGUGUAUCUGGAGUCCUGGGGUAAAGGUUGGACUUGAUGAUCUUAAAGGUCUUUUCCAACGUGGCUGAUUCUAAUACUGUGCUCUAAAAUGUCUCUUGCCUACUGUAUUUAACAUUUAGUUCAAUUUACAAAGUGCAAACAGGGCAGAUUAAAAGAGCCAGGCAGAUACACAGGGAAAUUUCAGCUGAACAGAUAGUUAUUCUUCUGGCAAGAAAGUGCUAAGGGCUCACCAGUGGCAGAAUAAGUAAUCAUCAUGCUGCUAAACUGCCAAAAUUCACUCAGGCUGCAGCAUGACCUGCAUGCAAACCCAGCCAUGAAGCAGAAAUGAAAUGCUCAAGGCAGACUCCAACAUGAAUGCAGAUGCUCCAGUUCUGCUCCAGAGCACUGUGCUCCAGUACUGCAGCAGCCUGUAUCUACCCAGAGUAAUUGCAGGUGAAGCCAGGAACAGCUCCUAUCAUAGCUGAAGCUAUUAAAGCUCCUUAAUGAAUGGUCUAACAAUAACCCAGGCAUAACCAGUUCUCUCAUUGCGAGGGCCUUAACCAUAAUAAGCCCCUUGAACAUUCCUAUAGUGUUUUCCAAAGAUCUCACAGCAUGAAGCUACUAACUGUGCUCUCACAGCCUUGUGAGGCAGAGAUUACUCAAUCUUUUUUUUCUCCUUUCAUUUAAAUACAGAUAAAAAACUGAGGCAAAAGCUAGCAAACGACUUGCCUGUGGAUACCCAGCUGACUGGUGCCAUGCAGGAUCCAGAUCUUCCAGAUUCCAGCCCUGUCAUCAGCCAAAAGGCCAUCAUUAUGAAGAAAGAAAUUAGUCUGGUCUUAUAAAUAGCAUUUGAAUAUAAGCCUGCCUAAAGUAUUUGCAAGGAGCUGACCUUAAAACACCAGCAGAGCUGCACUGGAUACAGCAUAAACUUUACCUGAACCAGUCAAAAGAAGCAUCAAGGAACAUACAAGAAGCCCUGAACUGAAAGGCAGAUUGUCACAAACCAAGAACACCUGUGUGCUUCAGUAAGACCUACAAAGCCACAGCAGGAGUGAUGCCUGCUCUGAAGAGAUUAGCAUCAUCUAAAAGAUGAAUAGUUAAGAAACACAGGAGAGCACAAGGAAAUAGGUAUUUAUGCUCUCUGUACCUGCACUUUACUGCUUUCCCCUGUGCACUGGAAGGAUCAGGGUGUAAGUUUUCUUCCUCCACCUGCCUCACCACAAAAACCCCUCCAGAAGUCCUGUAAAGACAAACCCCCCAUCUAGAUGUUUAAUGAAACACCCAGUGAGUUCCCAUAUUCACCCCAGUGCAAUGGGCACAUCCACAACUUUUGGAAGAGCCCCAGUUGAAUUUACUUAAAGGAAUUCUUUGCAGAUUUACCGCUAGCACACAGGAGUGCAUCUACCACACAGCAACAGCCAGAGCUGUUUACAAAGCUUUCUGCUCAGUGUUAGACUGAAAAUCCAAACUCUUUUUGCUGUGUAAUAAAUCAGUGCUCUGCGUUUAACAAUUUUCAGCAGCACCAUAUGCUAUGUGGUCCCAUAUGUUCCAUUACAGGGAAGAAAAACAUCAUCUCAACAUGAAUCAUCAGUGACUAUAUUCUGUAAAUCUGGCUUAAACUCUCACAGCGCUCAAAGGCAACCCCAAAUAAAUCUGCUCAAUUUUAGGCCAGAUUCUGUGUACCAGAAUUGCAGAUCAUUUAGUUAAAAUUAAGGGGAAAAAAAGAGCUUUAAUGUAGGAGUAAGCACACUAUUUGCAUCUCUCCAGAAGCAGCCUCACCAAGCACAAAAUUUGGCACCCAUUUAUCAAUUCCAAUCUAAUAAUGACAUCCUGCUCAUAAAAUGAUAAUAUCUGGUAGUCAUAACACCUUUCAUCUAAACUGCUUAAUGUCUGUGAAAAUAUGUACACUACAUACAAGAUUCAUUCCUCCCAGUGCUGCAAAGCAGCUACUCUGGAACAUGGCAUUUGCCAUGUUCUGCAUCACAGCCAUUCUGGAGAGGAGUUUGUAAGAAAAGUAAAAAACCCAAACAAAGCCAAAACAAACCCAUGUUUGCAUGUCAGGCUAUAGGGAAACACAGCAGGCAGUGGGUAGCUUCCUACAGAGAAGUUUAUGCAGGACUUUGGGGGUUAACAUCUCCACUCUUAAAGUGACAAACAGCUUUCUCUCUCUUCCCAAAGCCACUGCUGCUUGUGCUGAAUCAGUCACAAAGGCCUGAAGGCACGGCACGCCAAGGUCACCAAGUGCCCUUCUUCUGAGGAAUAACUUGGUCUCUUGGGCAACCCAGCAUCAGAAUUAACAGAAUGACAGCAAAAACGAUGUGCAGAUGGGGGGGGUUCACUAGUUACAAACUUUAAAUGCAACCCGAUGAAGAUUUGUUCAGCUGAAUGAGUUAUGUUCUCGAGAUUUUGCCCAAUUAACCCCCACUAUCCAACCAUGACCCAUUAUAUUAAUAUGCAGAAAGACAGACUGAAAUUAAGCUUAAUUUUGAACUUAAUGUCCUUAUUUGAAAGCCUUUUGUAGCUCAGGAGGAAGACACGCAACUACACGUUCCCACUUCACUACUGGCUUCAUUAAACUCGACAGAAACCAGAGUCCAUUUUAACCUAAUAUUCAAGGUUGGGGAAAAAACAGUAAUUACAUCCACAUCAAGCUAUUACCUGUUCAAGGGCAUAAGUGCUUCAUUAACAGCUCAGACAAACUUGUUUUGUAAGCUGCCUAGAUUAAAUAUGAAAUUUCCCUGCCCUUACAAAUCAAAUGAACAAUUUUUGACACAAAGGGAAAGUCCAGUAAGAACAACACAAACACAAGGCUGAGGAUAUAAACAAGCCAACUUCCAGACUGCCCAAAUCCCAUGCAUUCCUUGCCAUCUUCAGUAAGAAUGAGCUUACCCAAGCCACCCAGCCCACCUCAUUUCAAUAACUUCUUU